GGAGUUAGCCGGUGCUUCUUCUGUGAGUGAUGUCCUUCCUGCCGGUUAUUGACCCGCAGGCCUUCUUCCUCACUGAAAGUGCUUUACAACCCGAAGGCCUUCUUCACACACGCGGCAUGGCUGGAUCAGGGUUGCCCCCAUUGUCCAAUAUUCCCCACUGCUGCCUCCCGUAGGAGUCUGGGCCGUGUCUCAGUCCCAGUGUGGCUGAUCAUCCUCUCAGACCAGCUACGGAUCGUCGCCUUGGUGAGCCGUUACCUCACCAACCAGCUAAUCCGACAUAGGCUCAUCCGAUAGCGCGAGGCCCGAAGGUCCCCCGCUUUCCCCCGUAGGGCGUAUGCGGUAUUAGCCUGGGUUUCCCCAGGUUAUCCCCCACUACCGGGCAGAUUCCUAUGCAUUACUCACCCGUCCGCCGCUCGCCACCAGGGAGCAAGCUCCCCGUGCUGCCGCUCGACUUGCAUGUGUUAGGCCGUCGCCGCCACGCGUUCAAUCUGAGCCACGAACUACGAACCCGUACGA
This 516-nucleotide ribosomal RNA is filed under the name uncultured bacterium. Its description in RNAcentral is "partial 16S ribosomal RNA". The record is from RNAcentral.